UGGGGAAUUUUGGGCAAUGGGCGAAAGCCUGACCCAGCAACGCCGCGUGAGUGAUGAAGGCCUGCGGGUUGUAAAACUCUUGGGACAGGGACGAAGAAAGUGACGAUACCUGUAGAACAAGCCACGGCUAACUACGUGACAGCAGCCGCGGUAAUACGUAGGUGGCGAGGGUUAUCCGGAUGGACUGGGCGUAAAGGGCGUGUAGGCGGCGAGAUAAGUGUGAUGUUUAAAUCGAAGGCUUAACCUUGGGGUUCAUUACUAACUGUUUAGCUUGAGUGCUGGAGAGGGUAGUGGAAUUCCUCGUGUAGCGGUAAAAUGCGUAGAUAUUUGGAGGAACACCGGUGGCGAAGGCGGCUAUCUGGACAGUAACUGACGCUGAGGCGCGAAAGCGUGGGGAGCAAACAGG
Molecule: ribosomal RNA, 406 nt
Filed under: Verrucomicrobiota bacterium
Lineage: Bacteria; Pseudomonadati; Verrucomicrobiota
Description: Verrucomicrobia bacterium partial 16S ribosomal RNA
Rfam family: Bacterial small subunit ribosomal RNA
Source: RNAcentral